CUGAGUACUACACUCUCUACCCUUUGUGAACUAUUAUACCUGUUGCUUCGGCGGCGCCCGCAAGGGUGCCCGCCGGUCUCAUCAGAAUCUCCGUUUUCGAACCCGACGAUACUUCUGAGUGUUCUUAGCGAACUGUCA
Molecule: unclassified non-coding RNA, 138 nt
Filed under: soil metagenome
Description: partial internal transcribed spacer 1
Source: RNAcentral